This is an RNA transcript of Nomascus leucogenys (northern white-cheeked gibbon), 3181 nucleotides long. It is a transcript of the gene named ankyrin repeat domain-containing protein 13C pseudogene, with no coding region annotated. The transcript has a single exon. The record is from RefSeq and is a predicted model, not a curated record. Lineage: Eukaryota; Metazoa; Chordata; Mammalia; Primates; Hylobatidae.
CCGUGCCCUGUUUUUCGGUGUGAGGCAGCGACGGCGAGACUGAGAUCCUGGUGUCGUGGGCACCUGAGCUCUAGCUCCCCUCGGCGAGCGCUCGUCCCUUCGUGCCUAGGCGAGAGCCGGCUCUUCCCCGGGAGAUGCGUUUGUCCCAGGCUCGGGGGCUCAGUGGGAGUUCAUGCUGCGCUGGAGGCUCUUGGCCACCGCUCUAAUCGCCUUGUGCUGCCGCAGCGCCAGCUCCGUCGCCAGCGGUGAGCCUCCCGAUUCCCCCCCUUGCCCCUGGCGGCGGCGAUGACCGGGGAGAAGAUCCGCUCACUGCGGAGGGACCACAAGCCCAGCAAAGAAGAAGGGGACCUGCUGGAGCCCGGGGAUGAGGAAGCGGCGGCUGCCCUCGGCGGCACCUUUACCAGAAGCAGGAUUGGCAAGGGCGGCAAAGCUUGUCAUAAGAUCUUCAGUAACCAUCACCACCGGCUCCAGCUGAAGGCAGCUCCGGCCUCCUCCAAUCCCCCCGGCGCCCCGGCUCUGCCGCUGCACAAUUCCUCCGUGACUGCCACCUCCCAGUCCCCGGCCCUUCUGGCCGGCACCAACCCCGUUGCUGUCGUCGCGGAUGGAGGCAGUUGCCCCGCACACUACCCGGUGCACGAGUGCGUCUUCAAGGGGGAUGUGAGGAGACUCUCCUCUCUCAUCCGCACGCACAAUAUCGGACAGAAAGAUAAUCACGGAAAUACUCCUUUACACCUUGCUGUGAUGUUAGGAAAUAAAGAAUGUGCCCAUUUACUUUUGGCUCACAAUGCUCCAGUCAAGGUGAAAAAUGCUCAGGGAUGGAGCCCUCUGGCGGAAGCCAUCAGCUAUGGAGAUAGACAGAUGAUUACAGCUCUUUUGAGGAAGCUUAAGCAGCAAUCCAGGGAAAGUGUUGAAGAAAAACGACCUCGAUUAUUAAAAGCCCUGAAAGAGCUAGGUGACUUUUAUCUAGAACUUCACUGGGAUUUUCAAAGCUGGGUGCCUUUACUUUCCCGAAUUCUGCCUUCCGAUGCAUGUAAAAUAUACAAACAAGGUAUCAAUAUCAGGCUUGACACAACUCUCAUAGACUUUACUGACAUGAAGUGCCAACGAGGGGAUCUAAGCUUCAUUUUCAAUGGGGAUGCGGCGCCCUCUGAAUCUUUUGUAGUAUUAGACAAUGAACAAAAAGUUUAUCAGCGAAUACAUCAUGAGGAAUCAGAGAUGGAAACAGAAGAAGAGGUUGAUAUUUUAAUGAGCAGUGAUAUUUACUCUGCAACUUUAUCAACAAAAUCAAUUUCUUUCACGCGUGCCCAGACAGGAUGGCUUUUUCGGGAAGAUAAAACAGAAAGAGUAGGAAACUUUUUGGCAGACUUUUAUCUGGUGAAUGGACUUGUUUUAGAAUCAAGGAAAAGAAGAGAACAUCUCAGUGAAGAGGAUAUUCUUUGAAAUAAGGCCAUCAUGGAGAGUUUGAGUAAAGGUGGAAACAUAAUGGAACAGAAUUUUGAGCCGAUUCGAAGACAGUCUCUUACACCUCCUCCUCAGAACACUAUUACAUGGGAAGAAUAUAUAUCUGCUGAAAAUGGAAAAGCUCCUCAUCUGGGUAGAGAAUUGGUGUGCAAAGAGAGUAAGAAAACGUUUAAAGCUACGAUAGCCAUGAGCCAGGAAUUUCCCUUAGGGAUAGAGUUGUUAUUGAAUGUUUUAGAAGUAAUAGCUCCCUUCAAGCACUUUAACAAGCUUAGAGAAUUUGUUCAGAUGAAGCUUCCUCCAGGCUUUCCUGUAAAAUUAGAUAUACCUGUGUUUCCCACAAUCACAGCCACUGUGACUUUUCAGGAGUUUCGAUACGAUGAAUUUGAUGGCUCCAUCUUUACUACACCUGAUGACUACAAGGAAGACCCAAGCCGUUUUCCUGAUCUUUAACUGACGUGGAAAAGGAUGCCGUCUAACCAAGGAAAGAAAAUUCAGAGACCCUAGAAGUGGAUCCAAAUAGAAGGGACAAAUGCUCUCAGUGAAGAAAAGGGAAUUGCACAUUGAAUCGACACAUCAGUAAUAUGAUACAGUGAAAUGGGCCUCUACUAAGAAUUUCAGCGAGUUUUCUGAUGUGCCAUUUUUGGUCUUUUUAAAAAUAUACAUAUUAUAAUUGUAAUAGUUUGACACAUUAAUGACCCUAAGACCUUCGUAUGUAAAGCAGCUCUGAGUGCUGUGAUUUGUUUUUAAAAAUUUUUACACUUCUUGUUGAAAUAUAUAUGCAUAUAAAUAUAUCUAUAUCUAUAUCUAAAACACUCCUGGACCAUUAACGUAAAUUAAAUGUCUUAAGAGAUAUGGAGCCCCUUUAAACUUGUCAUCUUUAUGCAAGGUGACAUUUAUAAAUAUUCCUUCGAGCUUUGUUUUCAUAAAAUGUAAACUAUGUAACAUUAUGUAUAGUUCAGUAAUUUGAAUGUUUGUUCAAUAUAAUGAACUAGAAGGAAUGCAAUUUUCUGUAGAUGAAUGAACCAAAUGGUAACCAUUAAACAAUUGCAUUUAUAUGUUGCAAUACAUUUCAGAAGGAGCGUUCACUCUGCAGGGAAUAAGGUACCUCCUUUAGCACCUUAGUGCAAUUCAUUGUGGUGCUAUUUGUUUUUACCUGAAUGUUUGUUACUAAUCUUCCUUUCAUAGAACCUCUAUUUUUUUUUUCUAAACUCGAGUUUGAGUCCUUGUUACGUUCAUCAUAAGGUAAUGGUUAGCAUGUUUAAAGUAUUCCUCUUCCAAAUCUCAGCACUUUAAAAAAAUUCCAAAUUUUUAAACUUGCUUCCUAAUAAGUGCACAUCAGUCUGAUUAUUUUGUUUUUAGUAGAAUAUGGAUGCAUUGGUGUCAGUUUUAAAAAACAAUACACAUAUUUUAGACAACCCUACAUAUUUAAUCACUUCAAAAUAAGAUAAAAACAUUUUAUAUGCUAACAGAAUAUAUUUGUUACAAGUUAAGGUCCAGAAGUAUACACAAGAUUGAUUACUCCUAUUUUUUUUUUAAAUCAAGGAAAAUAUUGAUUUCAUUGUCUCCAAAGUGAUAAAAACAUGUAUUACUCAUUUUUGCACUUAAAAUUUUUCUUAUUUAUUCCAAGAUGGUUUGAAGGUCCAAGUAUGAAAAUAAAUUAGGGGGAUUAAUGUAUAACAGUUAUAAAGUAUCAUGUAUUAAAGAGCUUUCUUAGAUCGAU